GAUGAACGCUGGCGGCGUGCCUAAUACAUGCAAGUCGAGCGAACAGACGAGGAGCUUGCUCCUCUGACGUUAGCGGCGGACGGGUGAGUAACACGUGGAUAACCUACCUAUUAGACUGGGAUAACUUCGGGAAACCGGAGCUACUACCGGAUAAUAUAUUGAACCGCAUGGUUCAUUAGUGAAAUACGGUUUUGCUGUCACUUAUAGAUUGAUCCGCGCCGCAUUAGCUGGUUGGUAAGGUAACGGCUUAACAAGGCGACUAUGCGUAGCCGACAUGAGAGGGGGAUGGGCCACACAGGAAGUGAGACACGGAACAGAAACCUAAGGGAGGCAGCAGUAGGGAAUAUUGGGAAAUGGGGGAAAGACUGACGGAGAAAGGGAGCGUGAGUGAAGAAGGGCUUCGGAUCGGAAAACGCUGUUAGGAGGGAAGAACAAAUGGGAAAGUAACGAAGCACGUAUUGACGGUAGCAAAUAAGAAAGCAACGGCUAACUACGUG
RNAcentral lists this ribosomal RNA (497 nucleotides) under uncultured bacterium. RNAcentral describes it as "partial 16S ribosomal RNA". It matches the Rfam family "Bacterial small subunit ribosomal RNA", at positions 28 to 507 of the family's 1533-position model. The record is from RNAcentral.